GACGAACGCUGGCGGCGUGCUUAACACAUGCAAGUCGAACGGAAAGGCCCCCAUCUUGGUGGGGGUGCUCGAGUGGCGAACGGGUGAGUAACACGUGGGUGAUCUGCCCUGUACUUCGGGAUAAGCUUGGGAAACUGGGUCUAAUACCGGAUAGGACCAUGGUUUAGUGUCUCAUGGUGGAAAGAUUAUUGUUUUGGUGCAGGAUGAGCUCGCGGCCUAUCAGCUUGUUGGUGGGGUAAUGGCCUACCAAGGCGUCGACGGGUAGCCGGCCUGAGAGGGUGGACGGCCACAUUGGGACUGAGAUACGGCCCAGACUCCUACGGGAGGCAGCAGUGGUGAAUAUUGCACAAUGGGCGCAAGCCUGAUGCAGCGACGCCGCGUGGGGGAUGACGGCCUUCGGGUUGUAAACUCCUUUCGUUAGGGACGAAGCCACGCUUUUUGGGUGUGGUGACGGUACCUUUGUUAAGAAGCACCGGCUAACUACGUGC
Molecule: ribosomal RNA, 488 nt
Filed under: uncultured bacterium
Lineage: Bacteria
Description: partial 16S ribosomal RNA
Rfam family: Bacterial small subunit ribosomal RNA
Source: RNAcentral